GUGCUUGCAGUCUGCAUAUGCAUGCAUGAGGGCAUGCGAGGUGACACCCGCCGCUGGUCAGGGCUGUGGUGGUGACAGAGCCCCUCUGUGAAGUCCUGCCUGUGUCACGUGCGUUACAGCCAGACUGUGGUUCCAGUGUGUAUGCCGGGCAGGAGGGGAGGGGGAUAAAGGGGCCAUUGUAUUACAUUCCAGAUUCAAGCCCUCCUCUCUGCUGACAUCACAGCUGCCUAAAUACAGCUGUUCAGAGCUGCUCCCCGAGACCCACUGCCCGCACACGUGGAGGCACCUCGGCCCUUUCUGCCUGCUGCUCCAUGGACUCACUUUUGCUUUUCGGUGUGAGAGCUGAGAGAUGUCUGUGGACCAGGAGGCAAAACCCUGGAAGGAGGAAGGCUUUUGUCUUGGAGGAUGAUCUGGCCCUUACACUCACGGAGAAUCCAGUGCUUUGCAGGGGAUGUGCAUGGCAAGGCCUGGAGGGAGGAGUCCAUCUGCAGCAUAUCUCAGUUUGGAAGCCACAUUUCAAGUGUUCGGGGGCCACAGGUGGCCAGCAGCUGCCUUAGCAGACAGAGCGGGAUUGGACAGACAACAGGUCAGAGCCUAGGAGCAGGUGAAUUUCAGGCUCCUUCCCAAUUCACUGCUUGAACUCUUAGUAGAAUGGAAAUUGAGCCUUUUCGGUUCUUAGGGGACAAGGAGACCUCACAGACCUCUGGUUCUGGGGUGAUCAUGUGAGUACUUGUUUGUAAUAAAGUUUUCAUUCUUGGGAGCUGCCA
Molecule: long non-coding RNA, 767 nt
Filed under: Bos mutus (wild yak)
Lineage: Eukaryota; Metazoa; Chordata; Mammalia; Artiodactyla; Bovidae
Description: lncRNA (ENSBMUG00000022369.1)
Source: RNAcentral